RNAcentral lists this ribosomal RNA (1341 nucleotides) under metagenome. Its description in RNAcentral is "bacterial LSU rRNA". It matches the Rfam family "Bacterial large subunit ribosomal RNA", at positions 1564 to 2925 of the family's 2925-position model. The record is from RNAcentral.
UGAAUAGGAGGGGCUACGGCACCGAAGUGGUUGAUGUCAGACUUCCAAGAAAAGCUUGCACUGUCAUAAAUAAAGAAUGCCUGUACCAUAACCGACACAGGUGGGUAGGUAGAGUAUACUAAGGGGCGCGAGAUAACUCUCUCUAAGGAACUCGGCAAAAUAACUCCGUAACUUCGGGAGAAGGAGUACCCUAAUAAGGUUGCAAUAACAAGAUCCAAGCAACUGUUUAUCAAAAACACAGGUCUCCGCUAAGUCGCAAGACGAUGUAUGGGGGCUGACGCCUGCCCAGUGCCAGAAGGUUAAAGAAGUUGGUUAGUUUCGACAAAGCUGAUGACUGAAGCCCUGGUGAACGGCGGCCGUAACAAUAACGGUCCUAAGGUAGCGAAAUUCCUUGUCGGGUAAGUUCCGACCCGCACGAAAGGCGUAAUGAUUUGGAUACUGUCUCGGAGAGAGGCUCGGUGAAAUAGACUUGUCUGUGAAGAUGCGGACUACCUGCACCUGGACAGAAAGACCCUAUGAAGCUUUACUGUAACUUGAAAUUGAAAUUGGACUUUACUUGUGCAGCAUAGGUGGGAGGCAUUGAAAAUAUUCUUGCGGGAAUAUUGGAGCUAUCAGUGAGAUACCACUCUUGUAAUGUUAGAUUUCUAACUUUAUACCAUGAUCUGGUUAAAGAACAGUUUCAGGCGGGCAGUUUGACUGGGGCGGUCGCCUCCCAAAUAGUAACGGAGGCGUACAAAGGUUUCCUCUGAACGGGUAGAAAUCGUAUCUAGAGUAUAAAGGCAAAAGGAAGCUUGACUGUGAGACUUACAAGUCGAGCAGGGACGAAAGUCGGUCUUAGUGAUCUGACGGUACUGAGUGGAAAGGCCGUCACUCAACGGAUAAAAGUUACUCUAGGAUAACAGGCUGAUCUCCCCCAAGAGUUCACAUCGACGGGGAGGUUUGGCACCUCGAUGUCGGCUCAUCGCAUCCUGGGGCGGUAGUACGUCCCAAGGGUUGGGCUGUUCGCCCAUGAAAGCGGUACGCGAGCUGGGUUCAGAACGUCGUGAGACAGUUCGGUCCAUAUCCGGUGUAGGCGUUAGAAUAUUGAGAGGAGCCUUCUUUAGUACGAGAGGACCGAGAAGGACAUACCGCUGGUGUACCAGUUAUCGUGCCAACGGUAAACGCUGGGUAGCUAAGUAUGGAGUGGAUAACCGCUGAAAGCAUCUAAGUGGGAAGCCCACCUCAAGAUGAGUAUUCGCACCAUAUUGGUUAAGGUCACGGGAAGAACACCCGUUGAUAGGCAUCAGGUGGAAGUGCAGUAAUGUAUGAAGCCGAAGUGUACUAACAGACCGAGGGCUUGAC